UGGGGAAUUUUGGACAAUGGGCGAAAGCCUGAUCCAGCCAUGCCGCGUGCAGGAUGAAGGCCUUCGGGUUGUAAACUGCUCUUGUACGGAACGAAAAGACUCUGGUUAAUACCUGGGGUCCAUGACGGUACCGUAAGAAUAAGCACCGGCUAACUACGUGCCAGCAGCCGCGGUAAUACGUAGGGUGCAAGCGUUAAUCGGAAUUACUGGGCGUAAAGCGUGCGCAGGCGGUUAUAUAAGACAGAUGUGAAAUCCCCGGGCUCAACCUGGGAACUGCAUUUGUGACUGUAUAGCUAGAGUACGGCAGAGGGGGGAUGGAAUUCCGCGUGUAGCAGUGAAAUGCGUAGAUAUGCGGAGGAACACCGAUGGCGAAAGGGCAAAUUCCCCUGGGCCUGUACUNACGCUCAUGCACGAAAGCGUGGGGAGCAAACGGAUUAGAUACCCUGGUAGUCCACGGCCCUAAAACGAUGUCAACUGGUUGUUGGGUCUUCACUGACUCAGUAACGAAGCUAACGCGUGAAGUUGACCGCCUGGGGAGUACGG
Molecule: ribosomal RNA, 543 nt
Filed under: uncultured bacterium
Lineage: Bacteria
Description: partial 16S ribosomal RNA
Rfam family: Bacterial small subunit ribosomal RNA
Source: RNAcentral